RNAcentral lists this ribosomal RNA (1345 nucleotides) under uncultured bacterium. RNAcentral's name for it is "partial 16S ribosomal RNA". It matches the Rfam family "Bacterial small subunit ribosomal RNA", at positions 28 to 1380 of the family's 1533-position model. The record is from RNAcentral.
GACGAACGCUGGCGGCGUGCUUAACACAUGCAAGUCGAACGGAAAGGCCCUGCUUUUGUGGGGUGCUCGAGUGGCGAACGGGUGAGUAACACGUGAGUAACCUGCCCUUGACUUUGGGAUAACUUCAGGAAACUGGGGCUAAUACCGGAUAGGAGCUCCUGCUGCAUGGUGGGGGUUGGAAAGUUUCGGCGGUUGGGGAUGGACUCGCGGCUUAUCAGCUUGUUGGUGGGGUAGUGGCUUACCAAGGCUUUGACGGGUAGCCGGCCUGAGAGGGUGACCGGCCACAUUGGGACUGAGAUACGGCCCAGACUCCUACGGGAGGCAGCAGUGGGGAAUAUUGCACAAUGGGCGGAAGCCUGAUGCAGCAACGCCGCGUGCGGGAUGACGGCCUUCGGGUUGUAAACCGCUUUCGCCUGUGACGAAGCGUGAGUGACGGUAAUGGGUAAAGAAGCACCGGCUAACUACGUGCCAGCAGCCGCGGUGAUACGUAGGGUGCGAGCGUUGUCCGGAUUUAUUGGGCGUAAAGGGCUCGUAGGUGGUUGAUCGCGUCGGAAGUGUAAUCUUGGGGCUUAACCCUGAGCGUGCUUUCGAUACGGGUUGACUUGAGGAAGGUAGGGGAGAAUGGAAUUCCUGGUGGAGCGGUGGAAUGCGCAGAUAUCAGGAGGAACACCAGUGGCGAAGGCGGUUCUCUGGGCCUUUCCUGACGCUGAGGAGCGAAAGCGUGGGGAGCGAACAGGCUUAGAUACCCUGGUAGUCCACGCUGUAAACGGUGGGUACUAGGUGUGGGGUCCAUUCCACGGGUUCCGUGCCGUAGCUAACGCUUUAAGUACCCCGCCUGGGGAGUACGGCCGCAAGGCUAAAACUCAAAGGAAUUGACGGGGCCCCGCACAAGCGGCGGAGCAUGCGGAUUAAUUCGAUGCAACGCGUAGAACCUUACCUGGGUUUGACAUGGAUCGGGAGUGCUCAGAGAUGGGUGUGCCUCUUUUGGGGUCGGUUCACAGGUGGUGCAUGGCUGUCGUCAGCUCGUGUCGUGAGAUGUUGGGUUAAGUCCCGCAACGAGCGCAACCCUUGUUCACUGUUGCCAGCACGUUAUGGUGGGGACUCAGUGGAGACCGCCGGGGUCAACUCGGAGGAAGGUGGGGAUAACGUCAAGUCAUCAUGCCCCUUAUGUCCAGGGCUUCACGCAUGCUACAAUGGCUGGUACAGAGAGUGGCGAGCCUGUGAGGGUGAGCGAAUCUCGGAAAGCCGGUCUCAGUUCGGAUUGGGGUCUGCAACUCGACCUCAUGAAGUCGGAGUCGCUAGUAAUCGCAGAUCAGCAACGCUGCGGUGAAUACGUUCCCGGGGC